AUUGAACGCUGGCGGCAUGCUUUACACAUGCAAGUCGAACGGCAGCAUGGGAGCAAUCCUGGUGGCGAGUGGCGAACGGGUGAGUAAAGUAUCGGAACGUGCCCAGUCGUGGGGGAUAACGUAGCGAAAGUUACGCUAAUACCGCAUACGAUCUAUGGAUGAAAGCGGGGGAUCGCAAGACCUCGCGCGAUUGGAGCGGCCGAUAUCAGAUUAGGUAGUUGGUGGGGUAAAGGCUCACCAAGCCGACGAUCUGUAGCUGGUAUGAGAGGACGACCAGCAACACUGGGACUGAGACACGGCCCAGAGUCCUACGGGAGGCAGCAGUGGGGGAUGUUGGACAAUGGGCGAAAGCCUGAUCCAGCCAUGCCGCGUGCAGGAUGAAGGCCUUCGGGUUGUAAACUGCUUUUGUACGGAACGAAAAGGUUUGGCCUAAUAAGCUGAGCUCAUGACGGUACCGUAAGAAUAAGCACCGGCUAACUACGUGCCAGCCGCCGCGGUAA
Molecule: ribosomal RNA, 500 nt
Filed under: uncultured bacterium
Lineage: Bacteria
Description: partial 16S ribosomal RNA
Rfam family: Bacterial small subunit ribosomal RNA
Source: RNAcentral